CUGAUGCAGCCAUGCCGCGUGUGUGAAGAAGGCCUUCGGGUUGUAAAGCACUUUCAGCGAGGAGGAAAGGUUGGCAGCUAAUAUCUGUCAGCUGUGACGUUACUCGCAGUAAGAAAGCACCGGCUAACUCCGUGCCAGCAGCCGCGGUAAUACGGAGGGUGCAAGCGUUAAUCGGAAUUACUGGGCGUAAAGCGCACGCAGGCGGUUGGAUAAGUUAGAUGUGAAAGCCCCGGGCUCAACCUGGGAAUUGCAUUUAAAACUGUUCAGCUAGAGUCUUGUAGAGGGGGGGUAGAAUUCCAGGUGUAGCGGUGAAAUGCGUAGAGAUCUGGA
RNAcentral lists this ribosomal RNA (330 nucleotides) under uncultured Aeromonas sp. RNAcentral's name for it is "bacterial SSU rRNA". It matches the Rfam family "Bacterial small subunit ribosomal RNA", at positions 383 to 702 of the family's 1533-position model. The record is from RNAcentral. Lineage: Bacteria; Pseudomonadati; Pseudomonadota; Gammaproteobacteria; Aeromonadales; Aeromonadaceae.